This 83-nucleotide transfer RNA is filed under the name Mycoplasma sp. CAG:956. It matches the Rfam family "tRNA". Rfam says of the family: Transfer RNA (tRNA) molecules are approximately 80 nucleotides in length. The record is from Rfam by way of RNAcentral. Lineage: Bacteria; Bacillati; Mycoplasmatota; Mollicutes; Mycoplasmatales; Mycoplasmataceae.
GAGUAAGUAGCUUAAUCGGUAAAGUGUUGGAGUGUACACAUAAGAAUCUACAAUGGAUAAAGGUUCAAGUCCUUUCUUACUCA